CUUUGAGUUAGAAGGCCUACUUUAUUCGUCCUUUUAAAGCCUACUUAUUCGUCUAGCUAUUUCCAAUUCUAAUAAAUAACCCGAUCAUAUCAUAUCUUGGAAAACCCUAAGACUACCCAAGGCUGUACCCUACAGUGUUACCUAUAGUCUAUACUUGUGUAUACGUUGCCUUCUGGGGUGGCAAGCUAGAACCAAGUAGUCUAGGUAUCAAUUCCAAUUUAAGUCAAUGAUCCUCAUUUUCUCCAACAUUAAGAAGAUUAUUGGUAAGGUGACCAACCAUCACACAGGAUUCCGGGUCGGAGUAGCACCUCUUGCCUGAUAUAUACAGGUCGUUACUGGCGAUUUGUUUGUGCCCUAUGGUGUUCAAUUGCCCGUUUGUUCCCUCCCCCUCGGGACGGGUCAACCUACUUUGCCCGCUCAGGCGCUCCAAAAUGCUCUGACUAGACCGCCGACACCCAUGAUUUGUCCAUCAUUCAAAAUGGCAUUUCAUAAGGGCUCAUAAGGUAGGAGGAAUCACAGAUCCUCCGUGCACUUUCACCUAGAGUUAGUUUUAUUUUUCACUACUGUCUGAGUGGUGGCUAAACCCUGAAACUUUUCCUUGAAAUGAAAUAAAGAUCUAACUUUAUUCCAGUAGUGGUUUCCGCAAAUGUAGAUAAUCUUGUUGAUUAACACCCACUUUCCAUACCCUGCAAUUCAGAGGCCAUCACCUCUGGUUUUAUAGUAACAUAUCAGUAAACAAGGCUCUCCUCGUGUAGCUUUUUGUUCUCGAGGAAGAAAAUCUCAUUGAUUACUUAGAAUGCCGGAUGAAGCAAGUUACAACAUUGGUUCUUUCGUGAUUCACGUAUAUUGGAAAUCUCUUUCUUUAGGAAAUGGGAUGGCAUUCAAUUCUAACUUAGGGAUUCUCUUCUUCCUGAACAUUCAUGAAAAGAAGGACUCUGGCUUUAACGCUAAAGUUUAGUACUGGGCCGAGCGUACUUACCUACUUAGACAAGAGGGAUACUUAUACGUUGCCUUCUGGGGUGGCAAGCUAGAACCAAGUAGUCUAGGUAUCAAUUCCAAUUUAAGUCAAUGAUCCUCAUUUUCUCCAACAUUA
Molecule: long non-coding RNA, 1093 nt
Filed under: Triticum aestivum (bread wheat)
Lineage: Eukaryota; Viridiplantae; Streptophyta; Magnoliopsida; Poales; Poaceae
Description: long non-coding RNA (TAES_LNC022446)
Source: RNAcentral